Molecule: ribosomal RNA, 253 nt
Filed under: uncultured bacterium
Lineage: Bacteria
Description: partial 16S ribosomal RNA
Rfam family: Bacterial small subunit ribosomal RNA
Source: RNAcentral
UACAGAGGUGGCAAGCGUUGUUCGGAAUUACUGGGCGUAAAGGGCGCGUAGGCGGCCUUCUAAGUCAGACGUGAAAUCCCCCGGCUUAACCUGGGAACUGCGUCUGAUACUGGAUGGCUUGAAUCCGGGAGAGGGAUGCGGAAUUCCAGGUGUAGCGGUGAAAUGCGUAGAUAUCUGGAGGAACACCGGUGGCGAAGGCGGCAUCCUGGACCGGCAUUGACGCUGAGGAGCGAAAGCCAGGGGAGCAAACGGG